GCAGGAAGGUCCGAGGCUUGGGGAGCAGCCGUUGGCUCUGGUGCCCCUGGGGGUGGGAGCACGAGUGGGCAAGGAUGAUGGUGAGGCAGAGGAGGCGGCCCCGACCCGGCGAGCUCGAGGGAGCGCCCGGCUGAGAGGCGGGGGGCCGAGGGGCCCGGGGAGCGGGCGCCACCGAGGGCCCUGGAAGCGGCAGGGCUUGGGGAGAGGAGACGCGUGUGUGGAGCGUGGGGACCCCAGCCCAGCUCCCACUUGCAGACCUGGGCCGCGGGCUGCCGGCCGAGUGGCCGGGGGGCCUGGCUGCCCAGGAGGCGGGCCGGGGCCGCGGCCGGGGGCGCGGAGCGGAGUUAGGGUCACCAGGCCGAGCAGAGGUGGGACGGACCGACGCAGAGAGGAAGGGAAGCCACCUGGCCUGAAGAUCCUGUCUCUAAGAUCCCAUUCUGAGGCUUCGAGGGUCUGGCUUGAGCAGCACAGACAGGGACGUGUCUAACCGGGAUGACCAUGAGGUCUCA
Molecule: long non-coding RNA, 509 nt
Filed under: Pan troglodytes (chimpanzee)
Lineage: Eukaryota; Metazoa; Chordata; Mammalia; Primates; Hominidae
Description: long non-coding RNA NONPTRT006684
Source: RNAcentral